Molecule: long non-coding RNA, 6645 nt
Organism: Cucumis sativus (cucumber)
Lineage: Eukaryota; Viridiplantae; Streptophyta; Magnoliopsida; Cucurbitales; Cucurbitaceae
Exons: 3
Source: RefSeq, a predicted model, not a curated record
UUCUUUCUAUUUCGAACUAUUUAGAUCACAAGAACGUGCUAUGUUUCUUCAAAAAUAGAUUUGGAAUUGUGUAUGAUAUGGUACAACACCACACACCACUAUAGCAUUCUUGGUGUUGUGUAUAUCUUUUAAAAUAAUUUAGGGUGUUUUUGUGACCAAUAAUAGCAGAAUUAGAAGAGAAGGCAGAUCCUCCAAUAAUGGUGAAUGCCUAAAAAUUUUUCUGAUUGAUUAUCCAAUCGCCAUUUUUGAACAAGCGCGGGAAGAUUUGAAAAAGAACCCUUCAAAACUUGUAGGGUUCUAAAACCAAUCGCCACAGAGUUCAUAAUCCUUUUUGUUGUGACCUUCAAACAAAUUCAUACAAAUCCAUGUUUGCUCCAUCAAUUUUUCAUCAUUCACAUGAUCCAGAUGAAUCCGAAUCAAAAGUUUCAGCUCAUGGGUAUGGCUGAAGAUCGGACCAUGGCCCGUUUUUACUCUAUGACAAUGAAAUCGGACCCUUAUGCCCUAAAUUUUCAGAGUAUUGAUGGAAUAAGCUCACCUAACAACGAAGGGAGCAAGCUUAUCUGGAAAUGCAUUGAAUAAUGCGAAUUAACGCCACUGGCAGUUGCACAUGUUGCUUCUGCAAUCCACUCUCUCGUCGAGCGUGAAAUUGUUACAUCAUUAAACAGAGCUUCUUCAGCGAGGGAAAAAAAACUGGGUGGGAGGUUUAGGUGAAAAGGAGACGAACGUGACAGCCAACAAACGCCGUAUAGAGCUUUGUUUUUUUUGCUAAGAUCGAGGCCAAUAAGUCUUGUGCACCAGCUGUUUGAUGAAUUGUCUCAACCAAGUGAAUUUCAAUGGAUUAAUAAAAACAAGUGUUGGGUUCAUUUCUGAACACACCACAAAUAACAUUUGGUUGGUUCAGUCCAAAAUUAUGAGUCCAUUCUUUUUUCAAUGGAAGAUAUUAAAUUAGAUUAGUUUGGUGUUACAAUUACAGUUGCCCACCAUCACACCUUCGGUCCUUUAUUCAUAACUUAUACAGUAUUAAAUUGGUCAUAACUCACCUCCUCCCUUCCCUUGCCUUUUUGGGUGCUAUUAUGGAAAAGUCCAAUAGUGACAGCUUCUCUAACUGUAAGAAGAAACUUCCGAGAAGAUUUAGAUGGAGCCACCUAUGAUGCUCCCUCCUCCAACUAAGAACACAUGUCUCUAUUAAAAGCCUUCUAGUCUAAGUCCUUUUUCUCUCAGUUUAGAUUACUUCCCCCCCCCAAAUUAUUAAUGUCAUAUCUCAUGAGAACAAUCUAAAAGCUCUAAACAUAAAACUCAUUAUCUGGGAUGCCUAGGGAAAUACAUUAUUAUAGUUAUAAUAAUAGGACUCUAUAAGCAGUUAAAACAAAAAGUUAAGCCAUGCUCAUAAUAGGCAUCGACCAAUUUGGUAGAGGAGCCGGAUACAGUUCAACCAUUUAUUGAUAAUAACAUGAAACAUCUCAGUCCCCACUGACAUAAAUGGGCCAGCAAGUUCUCUCUAUCGCAACCAGUUAUGGCGGAAAAACCCCUCUGAAAAUUUCAUCAUAAAAGUUUGUUUCUUUGUUAUUUAAAUACUUAUUUAUUUUUACUGAGUCUUUUGUAAUUUUUUUUAUUCUCGUGAGAGACUUGGGACAAUACAUAGCAGCUUCAAGGUGAAAUUGGAAGAGCUUACCAUGAUCUAUGGUCUUUUUUUUUUUUCUCUAGACUAAUUUGAUAUGAUUAAUUUUAGUGGGAGGGUUUAUAUCUUAGAAGCAAAUCUGAAUAAACAUGGCCUUUUUAUUUUACCGUUUUUGUAUGACUAAAUGUAUUUGAAGUUAGAAGAAAAUAAAUAUUAUAACAUAACAUUGUCAAUUUGAGCACCGAUCAAUUAGGAAAAACUUUCAUUAUCGAUGAAGAGGUCAAAAGUUUAAAUCUCCAUCUUCACCCUUCCAUAUUGUUAAACUGAAAGAAAAAAAAAGUGAGAUUACAUUAUAACUACUCUCCAAGUGAAAUUUGCUCGACCACUCCUAAUUAUGGAGUCUUGUUUUUUUGUUUUAGCAACAUUUAAGCCCGAAUUUAGUUUUUAAAUAAAGUAAUCAGUUAGAUAUGGAAAGACGGCCUGGUGGGGUUGGAUUCACAAAGUUGUUUAUCUAUUGAUAAAUCGACUUGUUAACAUUCAAGGUCCCUGAAAUUUAGUAGUAUGAGCUUUGAAACCUCGCUGAUGUAAAAAGAUAGAGAAAGUAGCCAUUCAAUAGGCAUUUGAGUUAAGAAAAUUGAUUUAUUUGGGCUUCUCUGUCUGAGAUAGGAGAGCCGAAAUCCCAUUUUUUAACCUCAGGGCCUACAACAACCUUGACGAGACGCAGCCCGAAGUUUUGGGCUUCUAAUAAGAACCUGGUAAAGUCAUUAUGAGGACAAGGCUACUACGGUAAAGUAAUUGUGAUUCUUUUUCAUGCUUCUUAUAGGUGUGGUGUAAACGGCAUCAUUCUUUCCCGGAUUUUAGUCUUUCUUACUUGCAUUCCAUUUGGAAAGUUUUCAUGUAAUCCACCAAUAGGCUUUUGGAGCUAUUGCUCCUAGGCCUAUUAUUUCAUUCAUCAAUGUGAUUCGUUUCUCUUCUGAAAAAAAACAAGACUACUGCUACCACUGCCAGGAAUCUAUCUCCAGCCUCUACAGUUACAAGAUAUUACUUUGCAAACUGCUCUCUAUCUCGGUUUUAUAUCGUUUCAUUUCUGGUUUGUGGUGGAUGUUCUAGAUAUCUUCAAGAUUUCUUUACCCAUAAACGUGAUACUUUUAUGCACACCUGUUCAAGUUCAAUUUUAUAGGUGGCAGUUAAUGGCAUGAGAAAAGUUAAAGAUAGGACAAUUUGGGUAGAAAGGAAACUCUGGAAAAUUUACUGAAGUAAGGAUGUUGACCCGUCGACUAGAAGUGAAAAGGUCCCCAAGUGCCUUUUCAUAGGAAACGCAUGGCUUCUAUUUCUUUUUCCUUUCUUUUUUUGCCCCUUCUUAGCCCUCGUGCAUUUUGUGAUUACAAUAUUGAGGAAGAAAUUGGAGGAUGGAAGACUGAUUAAUUAAUGACAACGAAAGAAACAGAGGUGCGAUGAAGAUAAUUGGAGGGGGCGGAGGAAAUUGCAGUUUCAAAUAACUUCCUUCCGUUUCAAUGAAACGUCAUUGCAAACUUUUUUUUUUUUUUGAGAGGAUUGCAAACUUGUUUUUUCCCUACAUUGAAAUCACGAGUGCAUGUCUAAAUAUGCUUCAUACGGGGACGUGCUGUUUUUGUGUUGUUCAAAGAAGUUUUAAGUCUGACGUAAAGGCGCAUUCUUAGGAUACCGUUGUUCAAGUUUUCCAAAUAGCCUGAUCUUUUGGAUUGAUUAGCAUGGUGGUUUUAUCUUAAUGUUCCAUGCUGCCCGGAUAUAUUCCUCCUCCACUUAUUGGUUGCAAAUUUAACCUUCUUACAAAAGAACCUUGUUGCUGAAUUUUAUAUAGGUUCACAGUGGGCUUGGGUACUCAGUCGCCCUCAUAAUGAGACAAGACAUCACAAAAGUCUGAGCCUGGUUACUUGGAAACAAAAUGAAGUGGGAAACAAUCUUGGUCCACAUUUGCUGACUUAAACCCCACAAAUAAAUCCCAGUCAAAAUGCUUACUUUAAUAAAGAAAUUUACCAUUUUCUACAUAGGAAAAUGAUACGUAUAAUUCCAGUUUCAAGCCUUGUCAAAGAGAACAAAAUAAAUAAUCAUUAAAAGUACUAAUUUCUUUGAAUAUCUGAAUGAUCAUGUGUAUCAGCAAUUGGAAUUAAUCAUUAAUUUUGUCCUUAUAAUUGGUGGAUCAAAUUAGCCUAAUCAUAUCCAUGUUUGCAUCUUUCCGUCGCUUCAAAUUCAUUGAGGUUGUUACAAACAACCAUUAUAAUUAUUUCACGUGAACAACCUCUCUUAAAAUUGACUAUAUCAAUAUAUAUUGCAGUGGAGUAAGCUAUCAUAAAAUAUUUUUUGUUACCGCCAGUUAACUGAGGUUGUCAAAAAUGAAUUAUGUACAUGAUGAAUUCUGUUUUGUUUUAUCAGGAUUGGCACUCACAAAUACUGAAGAUUGAGUUUCCUAAUAGAAGCCGAAUAACCGAAAUUCUUGUGAUGACGUUUAUCGAGUUAACAGAGAGCAUCCUUUUGUGAAAAUUAGAACAAUAAUACCCAUGGUUUAGAGUCUUCUGCUGUCAUUAUCUUUAUAAUCUUUAGAUCUGCAUAACAGCAAACUAGUAAAGAGAAUAAUUAUAGGUUACCUAUCUUUAUAGCCCGAAAGUCAGGGUCAAGCAGUUUGUGGAGGGUAUAGAUUGGAACCCUAUCUCGGGUAGGGAGGAUGAGGAAUUUAGUGGUUCUGUUUACCUUGGAUGAGAUUGAAAAAGCUGUUUUCAACUGCGAUAGGAAGAAAUCUCCAAGCGCUGAUGGCUUCUCUAUGGCUUUCUUUCAGGAGUCGGGACAAUUGAAAUCUUAUCAAAAGAGAUUUGGAGGGUGUGCUUAAGGAAUCUGUUGAAAGAGGAAAAGAGGAAUGUUGAAUAGUUCAUUGGUGAAAACCUUCAUUUACUUGAUUCCUAAAAAGGAUAAUGCUAACAGGGUUAAGGAAUUUCAGUCCAUUAGAUUCAUUACUUGUGUCUAAAAGAUUUUGGCUAAGGUUCUUGCUAAUCAGUUAAGGAAAGUGAUGUCGUCUACCAUUCUCUAGGCCCAGGGUGCCUCUGUGAUGGAGAGGCAAAUCCUGGAUCAAGCUCUUAUAUUUAAUGAAACCAUUGAGGUGUAUAGAUUGAGGAAAAAGGAAGGUGUGAUUCUAAAGCUCGAUUUUGAAAAAGUAUAUAACCAUGUGGAUUGGGUGUUGAUAAAAAAAGGUUUUGAUUAUAAAUGGAGGAUGUGGAUGUGGGGGUGUGUGAGGAAUGUGAAAUAUUCUAUCCUCAUCAAUGGAACCCUUAAAUGGUUGAUUCAAGCUACCAAAGGUUUAAGACCAGGGGAUCCUUUGUCUUCUUUCUUGUUCUUACUUGUGGUGGAUGUCUUAAGUCAAAUCAUUUAUAAGGUGGUGGAAGGAAACAUUAUUGAUCCUUUUUGGAUUCGAAGGAAUGAAGUCUCAUUAUCGCAUUGUCAAUUCGUGAAUGAAACAAUGUUAUUUUGUUCUGGAAAAGAGGAGUUCUUCAUCAUCCUUAACCAUAUGGUGGCUUUGUUUGAAGAUAUGUCUGGGCUAAAAAUCAAUAGGAGCAAAUGUACUAUUUUUGGAAUUAACACUGAUCAAGUUAAGUUGCAGAGGUGGACAAAGGUGUUUGAUUAUGAGAUUGACUCUUUACCUUCAUCAUAUCUUGGGCUUCCUUCGGGUCGAAGCCUAGAGCUUUGAAUUUUUGAGAAAAUUCGUAAGAGAUUGGUGGCGUGGAAGAAAGAGUUCUUCUCAAAAGCUCGCAGAUUAACCCUGAUUAGAUCGGUGCUGAGUGGAAUCCAUGUGUAUAAUUUAUCUCUUUUCAGGACCCUCAACUCAAUGUGUAAGAGCGUUGAAAAGUAUAUGAGAAAUUGUCAAUAAAUGAGAAAUUUUCUAUUGGAAGGGGUGAAGGAAGGUCAUGGAUCUCACUUGGUCAAUUGGGAAGCGGUGGGGCACCCUAUAAGUGAUGGGGGUUCAGAGAUCGGUAAUCUAAGAAUCUAAAACAGAGCUUUGUUGCCCAAGUGACUUCAGUGCUUUUCCCUUGAGUCCAAUUCUUUAUGGCAUAGGAUUAUUGUGAGUAACUAGUAAGGUGGCAACUAUCCUUUUGAAUGGAUGACGAAAGGGGUUAAAGGCACACAUCAUAAUCCUAUUCCUUGGAAGGAUAUCUCUUUCAAGCUUUCGACCUUUUUCUGAUUUACUCGUUGCUUUGUGGGGAUGGUAAGGAUACUUAUUGUUUGGAGGAUCAAUUGGUAGUGUUGUCUUCCAUUUGUUCUUUAUUUUCACGUCUUUAUCAUUUACCCUCUUCCAAGAACUCUAUGAUAUUGGAUCUUUUGGUUGGGUCAUGUCCUUUCUUUGGUUGAGGGAAGCAAUUUUAGGGAGGAAAGGAGGGAUGUUCGUGUUUAGAGUCCCAAUUCGAGUCAGAGAUAACGUGUAAAUCCUUUUUCAAUAUGUUGUUGGAUCCCUCCCUUCCUAGGGAGUUUGUUUUGAUGUGGUUUAUAGGAUCAAGGUUCCUAGGAAAGUCAGAUUUUUUAUUUGGCAAGUUUUGUUUGUGCUUGUUAGGAGGAGAACUUCGCUUGUUGGACCUUUUUGUUGCAUGCUUUGUCGGAAGGUGGAGGAAGCGUCUUAUCUCUUCUUUUUUAGAUUGCCAGUAUGCAUGAGGUGUGUGGAGAUUUUUUAACGAGAGUUUGCUGUUAGCUAUGCUGGCCAUCAGAGCAUUUGUACGAUGAUUGAGGAGUUCCUCCAUCUCCCUUCAAAGAGAAAAGGGGUUUUUUUAUUGCUUGCAGGGGUGUGUUGUGUUCUGUGGUAGGGAAAGGGACCAUAUUGAGGUUUGGUCUUUGAUUAGAUUUUACGUUUUUCUUUGGGCUUCAAUUUCAAAGAUCUUUUGUAAUUAUUCCACUAGUAACGUUUUACCAAUUUGGACCCCCUUCUUUUAUUCGGGGUGAUUGAUUGUAACUAUUCUACGGUAACAUUUUACUAAGUUGGAUCAUCGAUUGGACGAAUGAUUUUUUUAUGA